This 468-nucleotide ribosomal RNA is filed under the name uncultured bacterium. RNAcentral describes it as "partial 16S ribosomal RNA". It matches the Rfam family "Bacterial small subunit ribosomal RNA", at positions 28 to 507 of the family's 1533-position model. The record is from RNAcentral.
GACGAACGCUGGCGGCGUGCUUAACACAUGCAAGUCGAACGGAAAGGCCCUUCUUUGGUGGUAUUCUCGAGUGGCGAACGUGUGAGUAACACGUGAGUAACCUGCCCUUGACUUUGGUAUAACUUCAGGAAACUGGGGCUAAUACCGUAUAGGAUCUCCUGCUGCGUUGGGGGGGUGGGAGAUUUUGGGCGGUUGGGUAUGGACUCGCGGCUUAUCAGCUUGUUGGUGGGGUAGUGUCUUACCAAGUCUUUGACGGAUAGCGGGCCUGAGAGGGUACCCGGCAACAUGGGGCCUGAGAUACGGCCCAGCUUCCAACGGGAGGAAGCAGUGGGGAAUAUUGACAAAUGGGGGGAAGCCGGAGGAAGAACCGCCGGGUGCGGAAUGCCGGCUUUGGGGUGGUAACCCGCUUUGGCCUGUGCCGAAGUGUGAGUGACGGUAAUGGGUAAAGAAGCACCGGCUAACUACGUG